CUUAGAUCUGAAAUUAUGUCACAGAAAAAUAUCAACCGUAUCAAAUGUUGGGGACUUUAACACAUCUGAAGAAUCGAACAAAGUUAAAUCAGACAUGUAAUCUAAGUUCAGAUGUAAUGGUGGUGCUGCUCCGUGGUGAUACAAAUAGCUGAAGAAAUAAGUUUAUAAAAAGUGUAGCAUUACACUUGCGUCUUACAAAGAAAGUUGCAGUUUCUAGGUGGUUGAAUGAGUAAGGAAUUUUGAUAGUGUGAUUCGGCUUGCAGAUAGGAAGGGAUUGAACAUGAACUAAUACUACCACCCAAAAAGAUAAGUAUCUUUUUAUACUAUACCAGAAUUUAAAUAUAUAGUAACUUACUGUUAUACUGUGUUCUUUUGGCAGGACAAUAUGCGUAGUACAUGGUACAUCCAAAUGGAAAUUAAGAAGCAAAUUGAUGACAGCGACUAUUAACACAACUUUCUUCAGUGCAUUUAAUCAGGCAUAGGGUUUGCCAGUAAAAAGAAGAUGAUGUCGGUGGGGUUUCAAUGGUAUAGGGUGUUUCAUCAUGAAGAUAGUUUUGAUGGACUGAACAUUCAUUCAUGUUUGGAUUUUCUUUAAAAAAGCCUAGAUUUAAUC
Brassica oleracea var. oleracea is the source of this 613-nucleotide long non-coding RNA. RefSeq lists it as uncharacterized. NCBI's taxonomy places the organism in Eukaryota, Viridiplantae, Streptophyta, Magnoliopsida, Brassicales, Brassicaceae. The transcript is spliced from 4 exons. The record is from RefSeq and is a predicted model, not a curated record.